Molecule: unclassified non-coding RNA, 615 nt
Filed under: Bartonella henselae
Lineage: Bacteria; Pseudomonadati; Pseudomonadota; Alphaproteobacteria; Hyphomicrobiales; Bartonellaceae
Description: partial 16S-23S ribosomal RNA intergenic spacer
Rfam family: tRNA (bases 106-179)
Source: RNAcentral
UCUAGACAAAACAAGUCCACCGUGGGCUUUGAAAAACGCUUUCCUUGAUAAAAUUUAAGCGUUUUAUAAGAGGAUGCCGGGGAAGGUUUUCCGGUUUAUCCCGGAGGGCUUGUAGCUCAGUUGGUUAGAGCGCGCGCUUGAUAAGCGUGAGGUCGGAGGUUCAAGUCCUCCCAGGCCCACCAGUUUAUCCAUUACUUUCAUAAGUGCUUUUAAAAAAUAAGUACUUCUAAAAAGAUUGCUUCUAAAAAGAUUGCUUCUAAAAAGAUUGCUUCUAAAAAGAUUGCUUCUAAAAAGCUUAUCAAAAUUGGCAGGCUUAUUGCUUUUGUGUGAGUAAUCCAAAGUUAAAGCAAAUUAAUGGCAAAAAAACAGUUCAAAUGCUAAAUACUAAGGAGUCAAAAUUCCUUGCAAAGUGAUUUUUACAGCGUCCAUUUGGUUGAUAUAAAUUCCAAAUGCUCAUAGACGUCAAUGCCUAUAUGAAACUAUCGGUUCAAUCAUAUCGCUUUGAGUUAUAUAGAUUUUGUAAUCCCUCUUUUGAUCGUUUUAAACGCUUUAUCCUGAUUUAGGGGCCGUAGCUCAGCUGGGAGAGCACCUGCUUUGCAAGCAGGGGGUCGUCGG